GAUGGGCUGAAUAUCCCUAUAAAAGUAAAAUUUCAGUUGCACUUGAGCUCGUAGAGCUUCGGCCAUUUUUAAAUGUUUGGGCUUUGGGCAUUUAAAUAAUCGGUUGGGCUUAAAAUGAGAAGUGAUAAAUGACGAAGGAGCUUUAUCAGAGCAGCAGGAGUCAACAGGAUCCCAAUGGAGGUAGCAUCGCUGGCUGCAUUCCUCUGCAUGCCUGCUGCCUCUUUCAUCUCCGGCCAAAUCAUUUGUGCCGACGGCGCCCGCCGCCUUUGAGGCUGCCCACAGUCACAGUGUUCGUUCACUUUAAGUUUGUAAUAAACAGUUGCUCGUAAGGUGUUUGAUGAAAUGUUCAUGAGACUGAACUGUUUUACCCAAGAGAAGCAACAAUGCCCAUCAACUGCUUGCCGAAAUGGGUCAUCGAGAUUAAGUAGAGAAAUGCUUUUUGCCUCUGAUUUCUUGAUUAAAUGUUUGAUGAAAUGUCUGUUUUUUUGUUUUGUUUUUGUUUUUGUUUUUUGGGUUACUGGUUUGUGUUUGUAGUUGGUACCCUUUAAUUGUUUCGGCUCAUAUUCAAGGAAGCGAGGUAUAACAAUAAAAUUGAAUCAAGUAUUGAAAUGAUAUUAGCUCGUAGUGUAAAACAAAAAUGAAGGUCGUAAGCUUUACUCGUUGUCCUUAUUUUCAAUGGAAGAUAUCCAAUCCAGUGAUGAUGAUGAUGAUGCAAGACUUUUUCGUUGGUAUGAACGAUCUUGUGCAGGCCAUAUACGGCAUUAUCAAUCAUUUGAACUUGUUCUCGUGUCAGAUACUGCAACGGAGCUUUGCUCUGGGCAUAAAGACAUUCGCGUUCUGGCAUUUAUUGUAUAUUCUUGUGGUACUAUGCAACUGACCGUGGGUAUAUAUAAAGACUGUGAAGGAUGGGUUCGGAUAGCAUUGAAGGAAAUAGGAGACAAACCAUGGAGGGAACUAGGAGCAUUGAUGUUGAUGAGAGGAAGAAUCGAUGGUCGCUUUGUGGAACAACUGCUUUAGUCACUGGAGGAACUAAAGGAAUUGGGUACUAAUCUAAACUCAUUCUAGUUUUUGAAGCCUUCAUUUCCUAAUUCUAAUUGAAUGCUUUUAUCUUCGAUAAGUUAAUACGUGUAGAUAGUCAUAUUAGGACUAUUCGACGUAAGAAAUAGCAAUUCUGCAUUUUGAUUUUAAGAUUUUUGGUACGAUCUUGUCAAUGUAAUAAUAGCAAGAACUUUAGGAAUUGCGUGCGGUGGAUAAGAAAGUACAUUUUCUUUUUUUUUGGUAAAUGAAUAAAUUUCUCAUUAUACCAAUGGAAUGAAAGUACAAAACAAAAGCUCAAACUGUGAUAUAAAAGAACAAAAGCUUACAAAAAGCUAACAAAAGUAUCAAAGAUAUCUAUAUAUGCGAUGAUAAGGAAUUUUCGCUUUUAGCACUCUGGUCAAAACCUCCUGCUUAACUGCAGCGAUCAAAUCACUGGCAUCAGAAGACUUCUCAGCAAAAGUCCUAUAGUUUCUCUCACACCAUAUGUGAUACACCACAACAGAAAUACUAGCUUUUAGAAUUCUCCACUUUACUGAUUCCUCCCUACAAGAGACGCAACCGAUGCAACACCUCCAGCCAAGAAGCUGGGUAAGCAAAAGUCCUGUUCCAUGCCAGAAUAUGAUCCCAAACUGAAGUAGAAUAAGAACAUUGAAAAAAUAAGUGCUCAAGUGUUUCCUCCUGCUGCAAACAUAAACAGCAGCUAUUAGUUUGCACAAUCCCCAUGCGCAUCAGCUGAUGCUGUAUAAGAAGCCUUCUUAUUGCAGCUAACCAUUCAAUGAUACUAUGCAUUGGCACAGUUAGAGGACUCCAAAUGAAAGGAGACCAAUCUACCACCAUGUUUAAGAUCAUAACACAACUGAUACGCAGAGGAGAUCUUAAACUUGCAGCCAACUAAGAUUAUGUGUAGAGGCAUCAAUUGACCCCCCAUCUUUCUAAUAGGAAAUCUCUAACUUUUAAAACCUGUUUCCAUUGCCAUGAAUCCCCAACUGUAGGCUUAACAUGCCAAAUAUCAUACUGCUUGAGAUAACCUCGUGAGCCCAUUUUAUCCAUAGAACAUCGUUCUUGGUUUGGAUCUCCCAGAUAAGCCUAGCAAUGGAAGCAAGGUUCCAUCCUUCUGCAUGGAAAAUGCCAAGUCCACCGGCAUCUUUGGAUCUACAGAUAUCGUGCUAAGCAACAAGAGGUGCCUUCUGACUAGUAUCACCCCAAACACCUUUAAAAAAAAAAACCAUCCCACCCACCCACAAAGAAAUCUUCUACAGAUUUGAUCAGUACUUCUCAAGACUGGUUUGUGAAGAAGAAAGUCACUGGUUCAAAAUACUUGAAGAAGAAAGUGUUGAGAUAUGCAGUUUGUAUGUUUUCGUAUUUCCUAGAUUUGAUAGGGGUCUUUUUGGUAAAAUAGAUGAUAGAGAAAGAUAGGGGUUUGGAUGUAAGAUGUAACACUUAUAUAGGCCCAAGCGGUCAAGAAAGAAAAACAACGAUUCAUUAUCUCAAAACUUCAAAAUGGUAUCAGAGCUUUCUAACCCUAGAGCCGCCGCCACCUGAGGAAAUCCCUGACCCU
Long non-coding RNA from Asparagus officinalis (garden asparagus), 2596 nucleotides. RefSeq lists it as uncharacterized. The transcript is spliced from 3 exons. The record is from RefSeq and is a predicted model, not a curated record. Lineage: Eukaryota; Viridiplantae; Streptophyta; Magnoliopsida; Asparagales; Asparagaceae.